GACGAACGCUGGCGGCGUGCCUAAUACAUGCAAGUUGAGCGCUGAAGGUUGGUACUUGUCCCGACUGGCUGAGCAGCGAACGGGUGAGUAACGCGUGGGGAAUCUGCCUUUGAGCGGGGGACAACAUUUGGAAACGAAUGCUAAUACCGCAUAAAAACUUUAAACACAAGUUUUAAGUUUGAAAGAUGCAAUUGCAUCACUCAAAGAUGAUCCCGCGUUGUAUUAGCUAGUUGGUGAGGUAAAGGCUCACCAAGGCGAUGAUACAUAGCCGACCUGAGAGGGUGAUCGGCCACAUUGGGACUGAGACACGGCCCAAACUCCUACGGGAGGCAGCAGUAGGGAAUCUUCGGCAAUGGACGAAAGUCUGACCGAGCAACGCCGCGUGAGUGAAGAAGGGUUUCGGAUCGUAAAACUCUGUUGGUAGAGAAGAACGUUGGUGAGAGUGGAAAGCUCAUCAAGUGACGGUAACUACCCAGAAAGGGACGGCUAACUACGUG
RNAcentral lists this ribosomal RNA (497 nucleotides) under uncultured bacterium. RNAcentral describes it as "partial 16S ribosomal RNA". It matches the Rfam family "Bacterial small subunit ribosomal RNA", at positions 28 to 507 of the family's 1533-position model. The record is from RNAcentral.